GACACACAGAGCAACUCCAGCACGAAAACAAAACCCUGCAUUAAAAAACAACUGUAAACAGCGACGGUGUGCAUUGCUCUUCACGAAACUCUCCGUUCUUCAUAAUUUUAAUAUGACAGCCAGACCUGUACCGUGGGUGAAUGAAGAGGUCAAGACUUUGUCUUUGAUGGCGGACCAAAGAAUACAGAGGGAGCUGGACAUAGAAAGUUUAUCAGGAGGUCUCUGAGCGGAUGGCCGCUCACAUAUACAGUAGACUGUAUAUAAAGAGGACAGAAGCAGUGUAGGGAGAAGUUGAAAAAGCUCAAAAGUGACUAUCGGUCCACCAAGGACCACAGCGGCCGGCGUGGGUCAACCAGGAGGUGUUGGAAGAGGUUUAAUGGAAGCUAUUUACUGGCACCGCGCUGCCAGCAACAGGAGGAAGACUCAGCCGCUGCAUGUUGGAGACGUUCGAGGACGAAUCCCUUUCCACAUGCGAAGCCUACUCCACCUCCGUCAUGGAGCCCCCAGCUCCCCUGCCUCCUCUCCACCACCAGCAGCGGCUCCUCUCCAGCACCAGCUUCGACACCAGUACCAGCUCGGACACCGACCCUGUUAACAUCAACCUCCAGCACGUCACAGCAACGUCUUAUCACCGGCAAGAGGAAAAGGUGCAACAGAAAAUUGGACCUUCCUAGCGUACUUGUGGAGAUGCAGGCCGAGGAGGAGCGGAGUCGUGCCCAGCAUGAUGAGAACAUCUGGUUGCUCCUCAGCGAGGUAAGAGAGAAUGAAGCAGCCUUGCAGCGGG
Long non-coding RNA from Amphiprion ocellaris (clown anemonefish), 784 nucleotides. The record is from Ensembl. Lineage: Eukaryota; Metazoa; Chordata; Actinopteri; Pomacentridae.